CUCCGGGAUCCUCCAGGGUCCCCUGGGAUCCUCCGGGGUCCUCUGGGGUCCUCCGGGAUCUCCCGGUUCCUCACCUGGAUCCGGCACUCGUCGUAUUCCCGCGGCGCCGGCGGCUCCUGGGCGGGCACCGGGGCCGGUUCUGGGGGCAGCGGGGCGAACUGGGAGGGGGAAAAAAGGGAUCUGUGGGAUCCCAGAGUGCACCCCUGGGAUCCCAAAUGUGCCCCAGGGAUCCCAAAGUGUGUUCCUGGGAUCCCAAAAUGCGCUCCUGGGAUCUCCUGGGAUCCCAAAGUGUGCCCCAGGGAUCCCAAAGUGUGUUCCUGGGAUCCCAAAGUGUGUUCCUGGGAUCUCCUGGGAUCCCAAAGUGCGCUCCUGGGAUCUCCUGGGAUCCCAAAGUGCGCUCCUGGGAUCCCAAAUGUGCCCCAGGGAUCCCAAAGUGCGCUCCUGGGAUCCCAAAGUGUGCUCCUGGGAUCCCAAAUGUGCCCCAGGGAUCCCAAAGUGUGCCCCAGGGAUCCCAAAGUGUGCUCCUGGGAUCUCCUGGGAUCCCAAAGUGCGCUCCUGGGAUCCCAAAGUGCGCUCCUGGGAUCUCCUGGGAUCCCAAAGUGUGCCCCAGGGAUCCCAAAGUGUGCUUUAGGGAUCCCAAAGUGUGCUCCUGGGAUCCCAAGUGUGCUUUAGGGAUCCCAAAGUGUGCUCCUGGGAUCCCAAAGUGUGCUCCUGGGAUCCCAAAGCGUGUUCCUGGGAUCCCAAAGUGUGCUCCUGGGAUCCCAAGUGUGCUCCUGGGAUCCCCUGGCAUCUCCUGGGAUCCCAAAGUGUGCUCCUGGGAUCUCCAGGGAUCUCCAGGGAUCCCAAAUUUUACUCCAAGGACCCCAAAUUGUGCUCCUGGGAUCCCCAAGGACCCCAAACUCUGCUCCAGGGAUCUCCAAGGAUCCCAAAUUCUGCUCCUGGGAUCCCCUGGGAUCUCCAAGGACCCCAAAUUGUGCUCCAGGGAUCUCCAAGGACCCCCAGUUCUGCUCCUGGGAUCCCCCAUUGCUCUGGGACCUCUCCCCCCACCCACCCCCAACCCCUCGGUGCCGCCGCUCACCCUCUGCGCUCGCUCCGCCUUGUCCCGCUCGAUCUUCUCCCGCACUCUCUGCCUGUGGGGAACGAAUCCCAAACAUUUUCCGGCCUUUCCCGAAACUCGGGGAAUCCCAAAAAGUUCCGGGAGCUGCGGAAAGCCGAGGGAGGGCAGCGGGGCCUUGGGGACACCA
RNAcentral lists this long non-coding RNA (1244 nucleotides) under Cyanistes caeruleus (blue tit). RNAcentral's name for it is "lncRNA (ENSCCEG00000003795.1)". Lineage: Eukaryota; Metazoa; Chordata; Aves; Passeriformes; Paridae. The record is from RNAcentral.